RNAcentral lists this long non-coding RNA (207 nucleotides) under Carica papaya (papaya). RNAcentral describes it as "long non-coding RNA (CPAP_LNC013915)". Lineage: Eukaryota; Viridiplantae; Streptophyta; Magnoliopsida; Brassicales; Caricaceae. The record is from RNAcentral.
GACCAUUGUUACAGCCCAUGCUAAGACUCCUCAAGCCGCAAACGCUUAAUCUAUUAUAGAACCAUCCCAAAGUUCAUAUCCUACUAAUAAAGUUGUUAAAUUUGCAAAAAUAUCUAAAACAAGAAAUCAGAAUCAACUGCUCCGAAGGGAUACAGAACAUAGAAGAGCAAGGCUACUUGUUACAAGUGUGGAGACCGGUACUUCCCA